RNAcentral lists this unclassified non-coding RNA (254 nucleotides) under fungal sp. RNAcentral's name for it is "partial internal transcribed spacer region". The stretch from base 1 to 46 matches the Rfam family "Eukaryotic small subunit ribosomal RNA", at positions 1786 to 1831 of the family's 1831-position model. The record is from RNAcentral. Lineage: Eukaryota; Fungi.
AAGUCGUAACAAGGUUUCCGUAGGUGAACCUGCGGAAGGAUCAUUAACACGUAUCCAACGUUAAACCCCCCUGUGAACUUUUAGCGUGUGUCUGCUGUAUAGGAACAGCAAUCCUGGUAAAUCAGCCCUAGAAAAGUUUUGAUUCAGGACCUCUGUCUAAAAGGAUGCGAUUGAGCGCUCGAGGCAAGUGGCUUGGAUGUUGCGCCGGAGCUGGUGAAAACGAACAACUGUUAACAAUGGAUAUCUUGGUUCUC